This 564-nucleotide ribosomal RNA is filed under the name Streptomyces sp. 316F02. RNAcentral's name for it is "bacterial SSU rRNA". It matches the Rfam family "Bacterial small subunit ribosomal RNA", at positions 93 to 671 of the family's 1533-position model. The record is from RNAcentral. Lineage: Bacteria; Bacillati; Actinomycetota; Actinomycetes; Kitasatosporales; Streptomycetaceae.
UAGUGGCGAACGGGUGAGUAACACGUGGGCAAUCUGCCCUUCACUCUGGGACAAGCCCUGGAAACGGGGUCUAAUACCGGAUAAUACCUGCCUGGGCAUCUGGGUGGGUUGAAAGCUCCGGCGGUGAAGGAUGAGCCCGCGGCCUAUCAGCUUGUUGGUGAGGUAGUGGCUCACCAAGGCGACGACGGGUAGCCGGCCUGAGAGGGCGACCGGCCACACUGGGACUGAGACACGGCCCAGACUCCUACGGGAGGCAGCAGUGGGGAAUAUUGCACAAUGGGCGAAAGCCUGAUGCAGCGACGCCGCGUGAGGGAUGACGGCCUUCGGGUUGUAAACCUCUUUCAGCAGGGAAGAAGCGAGAGUGACGGUACCUGCAGAAGAAGCGCCGGCUAACUACGUGCCAGCAGCCGCGGUAAUACGUAGGGCGCAAGCGUUGUCCGGAAUUAUUGGGCGUAAAGAGCUCGUAGGCGGCUUGUCACGUCGGGUGNGAAAGCCCGGGGCUUAACCCCGGGUCUGCAUUCGAUACGGGCUAGCUAGAGUGUGGUAGGGGAGAUCGGAAUUCCU